AUUUGGAGGUGCAGCGGGUAACACUGUUGCCUCACAGCAAGAAGGUCCUGGGUUCAAAUCCCGGCCAGUG
Molecule: transfer RNA, 70 nt
Filed under: Anguilla anguilla (European eel)
Lineage: Eukaryota; Metazoa; Chordata; Actinopteri; Anguilliformes; Anguillidae
Description: tRNA-OTHER
Source: RNAcentral